Morone saxatilis (striped sea-bass) is the source of this 1204-nucleotide long non-coding RNA. RefSeq lists it as uncharacterized. The transcript has 5 exons. NCBI's taxonomy places the organism in Eukaryota, Metazoa, Chordata, Actinopteri, Moronidae. The record is from RefSeq and is a predicted model, not a curated record.
CCCGUGUAUAAAAACACGUCACAUCCGGACAUGUAGUCCAGUUGAUCGCACGGCGGAUUGAGAGUGAAGACUGAAUACAUGUGUGCGACAUCCAGCGUUAAGAUGGAGAGGACUGCAGAGAUGAAGCCAGACCCCGCUCUGCUCAGACCCCCUGACUGACAUCUGAUGCUCAAUGAUUGAGGUUAGUUUUAUAAAGAGAAGACGACACGUGGCCACUUACUACACGUUAAGACAUUUAAUGAUACAUUACACAAAUCCUUUAAGAGAAUAAUGGUGUCAUAUUUGGGCCAAAUGAGGAUGGUAGACUUAAAGAAAAUGAAUUGUUAUAUCUAAUCUGAAUAACUGAGACUUUUGUUUCCUUAUUGCUUUAUAGGCUGAGGAUUGUUGUGAUCAGAAAAACCUAAAGUGUGCUAAUAAUAAAAAUGUACCUCAGGGUGUCAGAUCUUUCUUAAUAUUCCAUAAUUAACGACCACAAUAGUGAAAUCCUGUGCUAUUAAGAAGCCAGAUGCAGACUCUUUGCAGACACCUGCAGUCUCAUAGUAGAAAACUCUUCUCCCGGUUCACCAGUUACGGUGUGUCCUACAGCUCCCCGGUGUUUCAGACUGUUAACCAGCGACUGUCAGUUAACAGUCACAGAGGAGGGAGAGUGCAGCUGAUUUUGUACAAGCAGGUACUGAGCCUGAGCCAGCCUCCUUCAUUGACUGACACCCCGAAUGUGACGCCACCUUGUUAAACCUGUAAGACCUGUGCAGACCUCACCAGCGAGGCUCAGCCUGCAGUGGCUCUGUUCUUUCCUGUAGUGUCUGCUAGAGAGACGCGAGGUUGUUUGAGGCCCUGCUGUGACUCCUCGCAGCAGGGUUAUAGGUAAACCUCCGACAUCUUUUUAGGUUUCUAGUCAGAUGAAAUGUUUGUUGUACUGCUCGAGUGUCUAACUGGAAGCUCUGCUUUACAGGAGUGGAAAUCUUUCAGAGGCUGCUGAUGAGUGCAGAAGUCCCUUGUCGAAGGUCUCGGAGGCGAUUAAGUGGUUCCUGCUGGCGUCAGUGAGAAGAGUGGCUCCUCGUUGAAACCAACCAGAGUGCGCCACAAACAUCAGUCAGGGUUUAACCAGUAUGAGGAGACUUAAAUGCAGAUUUCAUCCUGAGUUGGAGAACCAGUUUAUCUGCUGACCUUCAGAUGAUUCCCCAAACCUGGGUGGACGUCUUUA